CCUAUUUGUAAGGGAAACUUGUGCAACCUGGUGGAGGUCUGCAGGAUGUUCUCCAUAUGCAUGAUGUUCUUGUUAGAGUUGCACUUGCUAGGUUGUGCCACACAAUAUCUAGAGCUCGGGCAUUAGAUGGUAUGCAUAUCUGAAAAAUAAUUACAUGAAUUUUAUGCUUUUAGUUUUUGGAAAAAUUGAUA
Long non-coding RNA from Ipomoea nil (Japanese morning glory), 191 nucleotides. RefSeq lists it as uncharacterized. The transcript has 3 exons. NCBI's taxonomy places the organism in Eukaryota, Viridiplantae, Streptophyta, Magnoliopsida, Solanales, Convolvulaceae. The record is from RefSeq and is a predicted model, not a curated record.